GCCAAUGUGGUGUAGUGGUUUGAGCAUUGGACUAGGACUCUGGAGACCAUGGUUCGAAUCCCAGAUGGGCC
Non-coding RNA from Phrynosoma platyrhinos (Desert horned lizard), 71 nucleotides. NCBI's taxonomy places the organism in Eukaryota, Metazoa, Chordata, Lepidosauria, Squamata, Phrynosomatidae. The record is from the annotation of a GenBank genome assembly.